RNAcentral lists this ribosomal RNA (254 nucleotides) under uncultured bacterium. Its description in RNAcentral is "partial 16S ribosomal RNA". It matches the Rfam family "Bacterial small subunit ribosomal RNA", at positions 524 to 776 of the family's 1533-position model. The record is from RNAcentral.
UACAGAGGGCGCGAGCGUUGUCCGGAAUCACUGGGCGUAAAGGGCGCGUAGGUGGCCACCAUAAGGCCGCGGUGAAAGUUCGGGGCUCAACCCCGGAUCGGCCGCGGCGACUGUGGGGCUCGGGUACUGUAGAGGCAGAUGGAAUUCCGGGUGUAGCGGUGGAAUGCGUAGAGAUCCGGAAGAACACCAGUGGCGAAGGCGGUCUGCUGGGCCUUACCUGACGCUGAGGAGCGAAAGCGUGGGGAGCGAACAGG